Molecule: transfer RNA, 72 nt
Filed under: Sphaerobolus stellatus SS14
Lineage: Eukaryota; Fungi; Basidiomycota; Agaricomycetes; Geastrales; Sphaerobolaceae
Description: tRNA-Arg (GCG) (tRNA-Arg-GCG-1-1)
Rfam family: tRNA
About the family: Transfer RNA (tRNA) molecules are approximately 80 nucleotides in length. Their secondary structure includes four short double-helical elements and three loops (D, anti-codon, and T loops).
Source: RNAcentral
AGCCGUCUGGUGAAAUGGCAUCGCGUCUGACUGCGAAUCAGGAGAUUGCAGAUUCGACCCCUGCGGUGGUCG